CAAUGCGCGUUUGCCCUUGCUUUACCGGCCUGUCAGCCCCAUAUCCUCAAGUGCUACGUUACUACACGAUCCAUACUGCACCUUUCGGCCCAGUCACUUGAUCCUCUGCACUGACGCGCCGGUCCGCUGCAUGUUGCGAGCGGAACUACAAAAGGAAUGACGGUAUGGCUAACGGCACCGUAAAAUGGUUCAACACCACCAAAGGCUACGGCUUUAUUGCCCCUGAGGGUGGCUCCAAGGACGUUUUCGUUCACAUUUCCGCGGUUGAGCGGUCUGGCCUGACAGGUCUGGCAGACAACCAGAAAGUGACUUUCGACAUCGAAGCAGGCCGUGACGGCCGCGAAAGCGCGAUCAACCUGUCUCUCGACGACUAAGUCCGGGAUCGACUAAUUGAACGGGCGUGGCAGAUCCCUCUGCCGCGCCCGUUUUU
This 430-nucleotide unclassified non-coding RNA is filed under the name Pseudooctadecabacter jejudonensis. RNAcentral describes it as "cspA". Lineage: Bacteria; Pseudomonadati; Pseudomonadota; Alphaproteobacteria; Rhodobacterales; Paracoccaceae. The record is from RNAcentral.